AUGGGUAAGGACGACGACGGCGUCCAAGCCCUUCCUCUAGUAGCUAGCGCGACAAAUUCGGAGAAUUUGGGAUGGGUGGAGACGGCAGCGUGCGAGAGAGGGAAUGGGAGGAGACGGCGGCAUGGACUGCUCGGUUUGAGAUGGGAGGAGAUGAAGGCUGUCUUUCUGGGGAAGUUUCCUUUCUCUCUUUUUUCAUCGAGGGAGGUGUUACCUGGGGAAGUUUCUCAGGUGAGAUUUUUCUAUCGCCUCGCCACAGUAAAAGUGAUGACCUGGAUAGCACCAGCGUCCUCCUAG
Molecule: ribosomal RNA, 294 nt
Filed under: Triticum aestivum (bread wheat)
Lineage: Eukaryota; Viridiplantae; Streptophyta; Magnoliopsida; Poales; Poaceae
Description: partial small subunit ribosomal RNA
Source: RNAcentral